GACGAACGCUGGCGGCGUGCCUAAUACAUGCAAGUAGAACGCUGAAGGAGGAGCUUGCUCUUCUGGAUGAGUUGCGAACGGGUGAGUAACGCGUAGGUAACCUGCCUGGUAGCGGGGGAUAACUAUUGGAAACGAUAGCUAAUACCGCAUAAGAGUAGAUGUUGCAUGACAUUUGCUUAAAAGGUGCAAUUGCAUCACUACCAGAUGGACCUGCGUUGUAUUAGCUAGUUGGUGGGGUAACGGCUCACCAAGGCGACGAUACAUAGCCGACCUGAGAGGGUGAUCGGCCACACUGGGACUGAGACACGGCCCAGACUCCUACGGGAGGCAGCAGUAGGGAAUCUUCGGCAAUAGACGGAAGUCUGACCGAGCAACGCCGCGUGAGUGAAGAAGGUUUUCGGAUCGUAAAGCUCUGUUGUAAGAGAAGAACGAGUGUGAGAGUGGAAAGUUCACACUGUGACGGUAUCUUACCAGAAAGGGACGGCUAACUACGUG
This 495-nucleotide ribosomal RNA is filed under the name uncultured bacterium. RNAcentral describes it as "partial 16S ribosomal RNA". It matches the Rfam family "Bacterial small subunit ribosomal RNA", at positions 28 to 507 of the family's 1533-position model. The record is from RNAcentral.